UGGGGAAUCUUGCACAAUGGGGGAAACCCUGAUGCAGCGACGCCGCGUGAGCGAUGAAGGUUUUCGAAUCGUAAAGCUCUGUCCUAUGGGAAGAUAAUGACGGUACCAUAGGAGGAAGCCCCGGCUAACUACGUGCCAGCAGCCGCGGUAAUACGUAGGGGGCGAGCGUUGUCCGGAAUUACUGGGCGUAAAGGGUUCGCAGGCGGCAUGACAAGUCCGAUGUAAAAGGCGAAAGCUCAACUUUCGUAAGCAUCGGAAACUGUCAAGCUUGGGUGAAGGAGAGGCAAGUGGAAUUCCUAGUGUAGCGGUGGAAUGCGUAGAUAUUAGGAGGAAUACCGGUGGCGAAGGCGACUUGCUGGACUUCAACUGACGCUGAGGAACGAAAGCGUGGGUAGCAAACAGG
This 403-nucleotide ribosomal RNA is filed under the name bacterium. RNAcentral's name for it is "partial 16S ribosomal RNA". It matches the Rfam family "Bacterial small subunit ribosomal RNA", at positions 355 to 776 of the family's 1533-position model. The record is from RNAcentral.